Molecule: ribosomal RNA, 466 nt
Filed under: uncultured bacterium
Lineage: Bacteria
Description: SSU rRNA
Rfam family: Bacterial small subunit ribosomal RNA
Source: RNAcentral
AGCCUGAACGCUGGCGGCGUGGUUAAGACAUGCAAGUCGUACGGUGUAGCAAUACACAGUGGCGAACGGGUGAGUAAUGAAUCGCUAAUGUACCCCGGACUCUGGGAUAGCUGCCCGAAAGGGCAGGUAAUACCAGAUAACGUAAUCCUUCCGCAUGGUUGGAUUCCCAAAGGUCCGCCGGUCUGGGAGCAGGCGAUUUUGUAUCAGCUAGUUGGUGAGGUAACGGCUCACCAAGGCGAUGACGCAUAGCCGGACUGAGAGGUUGGCCGGCCACAUUGGGACUGAGACACUGCCCAGACUCCUACGGGGGGCUGCAGUAACGAAUCUUCCGCAAUGCACGAAAGUGUGACGGAGCGACGCCGCGUGUGGGACGAAGCCCUUCGGGGUGUAAACCACUGUCAGAGGAUAGAAAGUUCUGAUCAUCCUCAGAGGAGGCACGGCUAACUCUGCGCCAGCAGCCGCGGUA